CAUGGGUAAGUCCCAUACGGCCAGCUCCUGGCGAAUCCUCCAGGGCAGGAAUGCAGCAAAGGUAGUUGGUUGUAGCGGCGCGAUAUGGGUAGCUUGCCCACC
This 102-nucleotide signal recognition particle RNA is filed under the name uncultured Prevotella sp. RNAcentral's name for it is "Bacteroidales small SRP". It matches the Rfam family "Bacteroidales small SRP". Rfam says of the family: The non-coding component of the signal recognition particle in Bacteroides The record is from RNAcentral. Lineage: Bacteria; Pseudomonadati; Bacteroidota; Bacteroidia; Bacteroidales; Prevotellaceae.